Ruditapes philippinarum (Manila clam) is the source of this 691-nucleotide long non-coding RNA. RefSeq lists it as uncharacterized. The transcript is spliced from 4 exons. NCBI's taxonomy places the organism in Eukaryota, Metazoa, Mollusca, Bivalvia, Venerida, Veneridae. The record is from RefSeq and is a predicted model, not a curated record.
UGUAUAAAGUAAGGUAUUCAAAUCAUGUUAUAAAUUGUAGGUCUGUUAAUUUAGAUGUUGCAAAGCAGUUGAAAGGCUACGGGCCAAACAGUCAGGGAAAAGGAGCAUCUAACUUAUUUGAAGUACAAACAUCGAGUGGAACAACAGCUGUAGAUGGCACGUGUCCAAAAUUGAAAGCGUUCAUAGUGAGAAAUGGCAUUGUUUAUAUCAAAACGUCACCAAAUUGUCAAAUAAUUAUACAUCCUGACAGACUGACUACAUGGAGGAACUAAAUUGUUACAACAAAGGCUGUGGUUGAUGUGAGAAGGUUAAAGUGUUCCAUAGAGGAAAUAGCCGACAGUUAGUUAUGUACAUAGAAGAGACCAAAUAAUGGAAACCCUUAAUAAUUGUUUGUCAAAAUAUACUUUUCAACAUUCAUUUUGUAACAAAAGGCAUUAUUCAUGGAGACUACUAUUUCGACGAGACCCGAGUAUGAACGCUGAAUAAGUUAAAUACCCGCUGUUUGUACAUAGACUACAACAGAUAACGUCAUUUUACAUUGACAGAAGAACUAGUAAAAUAAUAAUUAUUGUUGAAGCAGUGUUUAAUACUUUUAACGUUGUUGGUGGUUUUUUCUCCAAAUUAUGCCAAACUGCAUCUGUAACUUAAAGUUAUGUACGCAUUAUGUUACGAGUAAUAAAUCUAAGGAUAC